CUGCUCUUCAAUAGCAGCACACAUACUAAAAUUGGAGCCAUACAGAGAAGAUUAGCACAGCCCCUCUGCAAAGAUGACAUGCAAAUUCGUUAAAUGUUCCUCUUAGUU
Small nuclear RNA from Crocodylus porosus (Australian saltwater crocodile), 108 nucleotides. The record is from Ensembl. Lineage: Eukaryota; Metazoa; Chordata; Crocodylia; Crocodylidae.